GUUGUGGCUCAGUGGUAGAGUGCUUGCCUAGCACGUGUGCGGCCCUGGGUUUGAUCCUCAGCACACA
This 67-nucleotide transfer RNA is filed under the name Marmota monax (woodchuck). RNAcentral describes it as "tRNA.Ala". The record is from RNAcentral. Lineage: Eukaryota; Metazoa; Chordata; Mammalia; Rodentia; Sciuridae.